UACGGGGGAUGCAAGCGUUAUCCAGAUUUAUUGGGUUUAAAGGGUGCGUAGGCUGUGAGGUAAGUCAGUGGUGAAAUGCCCCCGCUCAACGGGGUGAAGUGCCAUUGAUACUGCCUUGCUGGAAUGCGGAUGCCGUGGGAGGAAUGUGUGGUGUAGCGGUGAAAUGCAUAGAUAUCACACAGAACACCGAUUGCGAAGGCAUCUCACGAAUCCGCGAUUGACGCUGAUGCACGAAAGCGUGGGUAUCAAACAGG
This 254-nucleotide ribosomal RNA is filed under the name uncultured bacterium. RNAcentral describes it as "partial 16S ribosomal RNA". It matches the Rfam family "Bacterial small subunit ribosomal RNA", at positions 524 to 776 of the family's 1533-position model. The record is from RNAcentral.